GUCUGAGCUGAGUGAAGCCGGAAAAAUGCAUGGAGAUUUAUCAGCUGAAAGCAUUCUUGAAGCAUCACAAAAGGGCAAAAAGAAAUCAUCGAGGCUUACACACUUUGAUCAUUGCGAAGGACAUUGGAUUUACAUACGCAAGAAGAGGAUUCGAAUUCAAAAGAGGUCCAAGUUUCAUCUUGGAGCUGGUGGACCAUUUCAUGUGCUUACCAUGAUUGGUAAUAAGGGCUACAAUUUGUGCUUUCAAGGUUUGGAUUCGAGGUUGAAUCAUUUCGAAGAGAGAGGGGAUGAUGUGAUUUGGGAAAGACUCCAAGCCACCACAAAUUUAAUGAUAGAUAGAGAGCGGCCAAAACCAAGAUUGAGCUUGAUUGGAGUUGUUACUGCCGGUCGAUUCUAUGUUGGAGCCAAGGAAAUCAAUGGAAUGGAUUUAACAAUCUUAAGGAUGAGAUUGAUCAGCCAAAGUGCAAAUACAAUGUUAGAAGGUCGAAGUCUGAAACAAAAGGAAGGCGACGUAACAUGAACAGCAAGACAGGAACCCAAUUGUAAAGCUGUACAAUCGCACAACAUUGGAGCCUUGCGAUCGCACAACGUGGUGCAAGGAUCUGGCGGAC
RNAcentral lists this long non-coding RNA (611 nucleotides) under Olea europaea subsp. europaea. Lineage: Eukaryota; Viridiplantae; Streptophyta; Magnoliopsida; Lamiales; Oleaceae. The record is from RNAcentral.